CUGGCUCAGACGAACGCUGGCGGCAUGGAUUAGGCAUGCAAGUCGAACGAAGUAGCAAUACUUAGUGGCGCAAGGGUGAGGAACGCGUGAGUGACCUACCCGCAAGUUUGGAACAGCUCCUGGAAACGGGAAUUAAUACCGGAUGUGAUCAAGUGGACUGCAUGGUUUAUUGAUUAAAGCAGUAAUGCGCUUGCGGAUGGGCUCGCGUCCCAUUAGCUAGUUGGUGAGGUAACGGCCCACCAAGGCCAUGAUGGGUAGCUGGUCUGAGAGGACGACCAGCCACACUGGGACUGAGAACUGCCCAGACUCCUACGGGAGGCUGCAGUCGAGAAUUUUGGGCAAUGGACGAAAGUCUUGACCCAGCAAUGCCGCGUGCGGGAUGAAGGUCUUCGGAUUGUAAACCGCUGUUUGGAGGGACGAAAAUUGACGGUACUUCCAGAGAAAGCCACGGCUAACUACGUGCCAGCCGCUGC
This 473-nucleotide ribosomal RNA is filed under the name uncultured bacterium. RNAcentral's name for it is "bacterial SSU rRNA". It matches the Rfam family "Bacterial small subunit ribosomal RNA", at positions 19 to 518 of the family's 1533-position model. The record is from RNAcentral.